UAUACCCUGUCCUUAUGGAUAAAUAAUCCUUCUCUUCCAGGUUGGUGAAAAUGUGUUUUCUCUACUCUGAAACCCCCGCACGAAAAAAGCCCUUUGACCCCCAGAUCUUGCAGUAGCGAUGGCUCAGGGACAGUGUCCAAGAGUGCCAGGGCAGAAGGGCCACCUAGGCAGAAUCAAUUCCCAGGCAGCUUCAGGGUUAAUAAGGUUUUCUUUAUUGCAGGGAUUACAGGAAUUGAACUCUCUCCACAACCUGUUUUAAUAAUAACUAAAUAAUAUGAUAUUAGGGAGCACCACAAGGGGAAGGAAGAGGAACAAAAGACGCUGCAGUUGGGUCAUUCCCAAGGCUUGGAGUCUGCAAGGUCCACUGGAGAAAGGGCUGCAGCACAGAUGUGCAGCUCCCGCACACAGUGAUGAAUCUCAGGUCACCUCCCUCCAGUUUGUGCUAUGGGGUGUAAGGUUGAAAAUGUUUCUAAAAGCGUUUACUUUUUCCUGUGGAUGGAGAGAAAACAGAAUAAUUCAUUUUCAAAGUUUGAGAAGUGUUUUGUUUCAAGAAGAAAUAAGUAGAUUUACUUUUGCAGUAAGAAGUUUGCAGGAAACUUCAGGAAUCUUUUGUAAGGGCUUGUAGCGUCUUGGAAGCUGGAGUCUUUAUAUACAUACAGCACUUGCGUAACAACGUCUUAACUGUGAAUGAGAUUCCUAGGUGCAGUUGCAAUAAACUGAUUAAUAGUAUCAUUCAUGGUAUCAUACCUCAUUCAUAUGUUCAGUGUAAGUAAAGAGGAAUACAUUGGCAGGAGCAUAACGGUUGUGACUUCAAACACGAUACUCUUGGGGGGAAAAGUUACAGCUAAAGCAUGCACCACUGGGCAGUGCAAUUGGUAAAGCUGCAAUAAAUGUUCAAGAAAAUAAUUUGUGGAGUAAAAAGCAGCAAAAACAAGCUCACAAAGAGCUAGUGCUGGGCAGGUCUCUGGCACGUUACCCAAGGUGGGUAACGUUACCCAGUUAGUCAAACCGAGGAUGGAAAUAAGAAGGAGACAUGUCUGUCAGUCAGAUUGUUCAGGAUGACCCCUACUUAUGCAUAAACAAGCACCCACAAGUAGGGUUGUGUGUUUUUUUAAUCUGGAGACAGCAAGGACUGAUUUUUGUCACCAAACACUCGUGGGACAAAUCACUGACAAAAGCACACAGAAAGCAGAAGGGAAUAGAAGAUGGUUAAAUGAGAAGGAAUGUCUUUGCCAUGGGCUGCAGCUGCUUGGAAUGCAUUGGGAUCCUCAAGAGAAGAGACAAGUAAUGGGUCAGUAUUUCCUAUACGGUUGCUUAUUUCAUUCAAAAGCAAAUAAUGGGUCAUUUCUGUGUGUUUCAUUCAACGAAUAAGUUACUUGAACUACCACAUGGCUGAAGUAUGGAGAAAUGUGUGGGGCAAUAAAAAGACCCAGUGUUUCACUGUGCCGGCAUCCCCACAGUUAGCUAAAAUGAGACAUCUAGUUCAUACCAAGAAAAUAUUAGCCCUCGGGAGCAGGCAGCUUGGCUAACGCAGUGAUCGGUUGCGCUGUGUCCCUGCCCAAACUUAAAUGUUCCCUGGCCAGCGCUGCUCCUAUUUUUAAUCUCUGUGCUAUGAAAAGCCCUGUUCCACAGUACCUGAAUUUGUGCUUUAUAGGCAGAGACUUGGGAGCACGUUUAUCACGCGGCUGUCAUUGCUUUUGAGGAAACCGGUCCAGAGUGCUUGGGUUGUUGUCCUGAAGCCACCCAAUAUGACGUGGCCCUUUGCUCUCGGACAGUGUGCUGCUUCACGGCGAUGCUGUGAAGAGCAGACUGACAGAGAGCUGGACCCAGGGCAGUUUCUGCCCAGGGAUAAAUGAUACCCUGAUUUCUCAUUUAUUAAAUUGCAGCCCGUAUUGUGUACAUUGUUUCACAGGGAGAUGUUUACCCUGCUGAAAAGCUAAAAUGUUUUCUCUCCUUGCAACAUAAAAAGCCCAGGAGUGAGUAUUGUCACCGGAGAUAAUGUUACAGCCUUAGCAAGAUGGCACUUCAAAACUUCGUCAGCCUCCAAGAAUUUCGGAAUAGCGAUGAAUGAAGGUAACAAGUGUUAAGAGCAGGCGGUGCUUGCAAGAAGUGCCCUCACAAGCCGUGUUUUCAAGAGCUUUUUUCUGUUCCCAGUUACCAUUAGAGCUGCACAGCUGGGACCAUUUUUAAAUAAUUAUACUUACCAGUUAAAAACCCUCACAUGCUAAAAUAAAUUUUAGCUAAGAUGGCUUUGAGCUUUGCAGCCUCAUAUGACACUCCAUCUUUCUCGUGUGACUGUUGUAACAAGUCAAAUUCAUGUAUUUUGAUACCCGGCACAUGGUAAAGAUACUUGGAUCACUUAAGCCUGUACAAAACUGCAAUGCUCGCAUGUCAUUUAUCUUAAAAUCCUAUUGUGGCUCUCGUGAAAUGUAACUUCUUCAGCGAAUGGAAAUUUAUACUGGCAGAGGUGUUAUAAAUCAUGGAAAAUACUCAGGGAAGGGGACCCAACGCUUCCUUUAUCUCUUCAAGUAUUCAGUAACAGGAAUUUAUUUUUCAGCUUGGCAUUGGUUUGUUGCAGGUUACAGAGCUUUGGUGCAACCAAAGGGACCCGUUUCCAGUCAUCUUAACCAAAACUGAAUAACUGCAACAGAAACUCUGAAAUAUGUCUGGAGCUCUAAAACUUGAAGACAAACACCUCAAAACCACUCCACAGACUGCCUCAGGUAGGAUGGUGCCAUGCCCAUGGCUUCACUCUGAUAGAGCUCAGCUUUACUGCCCUCAUUCUUAAAGAUCCCACUGAUGUCAAAAUGCCUGUGGAUGCUAAAAAGAAGGGGGAGGAUGAAAUAGGGUCAACAGCUACAGAUUACAAAUCUUCAUCAAAUGCAGGAGGAAUUGUCUAAGGAAUAAGGACUUCAAGAUCCAACGAGUGUGUAUCGUGCCAGAGAGGAAGAAAUUCGCUGAAGUCUGUGCACCAAAUUAUGCUCUUAUGGAUAUGUGCUUGCACAGAAAGCCAGCGAACAGACACUGCAGCACCUCAGCUAUAUUUUGGUGGUAUCACUGUCACAAGAGUUAACGCAGCCUUCUGCUCAAAGGGCAUUUAGUGUUUAUGAAAGCUAGUGGAAUUGAAAACCUGAUGCAUGGUACAUGACAGCGAGAGGAAUAGCUGGAGCUAUGUCCAUUUUCCAGCAGCACACCUUGGCGCCUGGUGGGAGAGUGAGUGAAUCCCCACUUGUGGCAACAGCCUCCUGGAAACGUUUUUGACAUUUUUGCCAUUGCAUUUGUGAAAGGUGAAGGUGCCAAUGCAAGCUGCAGUAAAGGUGAGUGCUCCUCUAGAUCCAGCUUCUCUUCACCAUGGGGAAAAAUACAUGUUACAUGGAAUUAAUAAAUACAAAGUAAUUAACACAGUGAAGGCAAAGCAGUUGAAGUAUUAAUAUAUGUGAACUGACAGAGGUAAGUCCUGAGGACCUCAUCCAUCUUCUGUGUGUGUUAACAGGGCCAAGGGAAGCUGGAGUUGUCUCCCCUGGUUUGCCAUGAGUAGACUGACAAGGUAAGCACAGACCUUGCAGCUCGGUAAAGAUGGCAGCUUGUGAGUCCUGAAUGCCCCGCACCACAUAACUGAGGGAUGUGUUGUAUCUCAAAACAGGUGUCCUGGAGGGCAACAGCUCAUAACGACAUUGCCCCAGUGCAUCGUGCAACUGACGUUAAUACUGAUCCCAGUGCCUGCUCCCCCACCACUGCCAGGAGGGCAGUGCUAUGAAGGGUUUUGCUAGGUUGGUGGAGCCAUGGUGAAAAAGGUGAUCCCAGCAACCUUUAGGAGCUAUCAUGCCACCUUCACGGUACAGGGAAAAUCUGCAGGGACUGGUCCUAACCUACCAGUAGAUCAGCUCAUCUGGGAAGAUACCCAAUGUAGGGAAAGAGUGUGAUCUCUGUCCAUUCCUAUAGCAUUGCAAAUCCCCCUGACCUUUGUCUGGCUGACUUAAUGGUAUAUACUUGGUGAUAUCUGAACACUUUUUUUGGCAACAGCACCAAGAAUGAUUCAAAUAGCGUUCUCCUCACUGUUGGAGGUACGGCCCUGGUGUUUCCCUCCCAGCAAAUAAAGAGGAGAGCUUUCAUAUAUGUGUCUUCUGGGGACCAGUGCUUUCUAGGAAUUGCUUACAGAGAAUUAAGUAACACAUUUGAUUGUCAUCCAGAAGCCCUGGGCUUACUACAUGAUCUUCUU
Long non-coding RNA from Melopsittacus undulatus (budgerigar), 4219 nucleotides. RefSeq lists it as uncharacterized. The record is from RefSeq and is a predicted model, not a curated record. The transcript has 5 exons. Lineage: Eukaryota; Metazoa; Chordata; Aves; Psittaciformes; Psittaculidae.